Molecule: long non-coding RNA, 529 nt
Organism: Lytechinus pictus (painted urchin)
Lineage: Eukaryota; Metazoa; Echinodermata; Echinoidea; Temnopleuroida; Toxopneustidae
Exons: 4
Source: RefSeq, a predicted model, not a curated record
UGCAUUCUUCUUAUUGAUGGAGAUAAGGCACGAGUAGAAACCACAUUCGUCAAUGAAAGUUACGUUCUGUGUGGGGCUAAAGAGUACAUGUAUGAUGACGACAUCCUUCAGAACAAUGUAAGCGUCUCCGUUCAAUGGAAUUACCAACACUAUAUAGAUGACCCUAAUGAUGCAUAUGUGACUCUGUACAAGUGUUCAGCCAACGAUGGAAGCUGCAGCCGGUGUCUAUCUCCGGAAGCAACACCUUCGUUUCUAAACUGCGGUUGGUGUGGGAAUGACUGUAAUGUAAUUGAGAGUGAUGUUUGUCAGAGCAAUCGAUUUGUCAAUCAGAAUGAGACCAAUCUUUGUUCAGCACCAGUAAUAACUGAAUUUUAUCCCAUAUCAGGUCCAAUUAAUGGCAUUACAAGAUUGGAAAUAAUCGGAACCGACCUAGGAGUGGCAUUUAAUGAUGUACUAAAUGUUACAAUAGGAGACUUGGUGUGUAGCCUGACUGACAUGGAUUCCUACUAUCAACCAGGGCAGAGGUGAA